Molecule: long non-coding RNA, 1193 nt
Filed under: Homo sapiens (human)
Lineage: Eukaryota; Metazoa; Chordata; Mammalia; Primates; Hominidae
Description: non-protein coding lnc-RBM27-5:2
Source: RNAcentral
GCAGAAUGCCGCGAGUGCGCCCUGGUUAGGUUGGAGUCCCUUGGCCAUCAACCUUUUCACCCGGUAGAGCUGGUUGCCUGUCGGGAUGCCAGGAUACGCAGUUAAUUACUAUACGGUGACUGAGGUGCUACUUAUGGCUUGCCACUAUGCACAGAUAUUUUUUACUGUCAGUGGCAUUCAACAGCCCAGCAUUUAGACAUUGUAUAACCGCGUAUUGACAAUCUCCUUUUUUUUUUUUGAGACGCAGUAUCGCUCUGUCGCCCAGGCUGGAGUGCAGUGGCGCGAUCUUGGCUCAGUGCAACCUCGGCCUGCCGGAUUCAAGCAAUUCUCCUGCCUCAGGCUCCCGAGGAGCUGGGACUAUGGGCGCGCGCCACCACACCGACUAAUUUUUUGUAUUUUUGGUAGAGACUGGGUUUCACCAUAUUGGCCAGGAUGGUCUCGAUCUCCUGAACUCGUGAUCCGCCCGCCCCAGCCUCCCAAAGUGAUGGGAUUACAGGCGUGAGCCACCGUGCCCGGCCAACAAUCUCCAUUUUUAAGCAAGAGACUGAAAGCCUACCUGGUCCCAUUGCCUGACUCAGACUAUUUAGACCACUACCAAACAGGGCCAGGGGCGGUGGCCAUAAUCCCAUUAUUUUGGGAUGCCGAGGUGGGCGGAUGACCUGAGGUCAGGAGUUUGAGACCAGCCUGGCCAACAUGGUGAAACCCCGUCUCUACUAAAAAUACGAAAAUUAGCUGGGUAUGGUGGCGUGCACCUGUAGUCCCGGCUACUCGGGAGGCUGAGGCAGGAAAAUUGCUUGAACCCAGGAGGCAGAGGGUGCACUGAGUCGAGAUCGCACCACUGCACUCUAUCUUGGGCGGCAGAGCGAGACUUCAUCUCAAGGGAAAAAAAAAGACUGGUCGGGUACGGUGUCUCACACCUGUAAUCCCAGCACUUUGGGAGGCCGAGGCAGGUGGAUCACGAGGUCAGAGGUUCGAGACCAGGCUGGCCAAGAUGGUGAAACCCCGUCUCUACUAAAAAUACAAAAAUUAGCCAGGCGUGGUGUCACGCGCCUGUAAUACCAGCUGCUGGGAAGCUGAGACAGGAGAAUCACUUGAACCCGGGAGGUGGAAAUUGCAGUAAGCCAAGAUGGCAGCACUGCACUCCAGCCUGGGCGACAGAGCAAGACUCCGUCUCAAAAACAAAACAAAAAAAA